Molecule: long non-coding RNA, 1396 nt
Filed under: Homo sapiens (human)
Lineage: Eukaryota; Metazoa; Chordata; Mammalia; Primates; Hominidae
Description: HSALNT0093791
Source: RNAcentral
UAUAAAACGAGUAAGUCCUCUAAAGCCUUGCUACUCAAUGUUGAUUCACCUGGGAGCUUGUUAAAAAAUGCAGAAUGGCAGGCCCCACCUCAGACCAACUGAAUCACAAUCUGCAUUUAGCAAAGGUGCACUUGUGUGCACAGUAAAGUCUGAGAAGUCCUGCAAUGCAGUAUUGUCACAGCUGUAUAGUCAGUGUCAUUGUGGAAGACAAAGGAAGCAGAGGUCGCUUUUCCAGAAUGGGAAUAGAUAUUUUAGGAAAUGCUUCAUAGGUAGCGAUGCCUGAGCUGGGUCUUACGAAAGUAUGGAUAUUUGCCAGGGAGACAAGAAGUAAAGGUAGCUUACAGAAAGAGAGAAGGAAGCAUAGACUGUGGCUGCAAGAGAAGCCUGAAGCAACUCCAUGUUUUUAGAGAAGCACAGGGAUGUCAAUGGAGAGCAGAUGGAAGCAGAUGUCCCACAAUGAUACUGGGACACAUCUGUGGACAGGAGUCUGGCCAACCACCAGGUCAGUUAAGGGUUUUGGAUCUAUUCUGUGAACCAGUGCUUUAGUCUUGGCUACAAAUUAUAAUUACUCUGGAAAACUGAAUACAGAUACUUGGGCCCUGCUCUCAGAAACUCUGGUUUAAUUGGUCCGGGAUGAGAUUUUUUUUUUUAAGUUCCCUAGGUGAUGCAGAUGUGUGCAGAAUGGAUUGAGUCCACUGUUUUAGGCAAUUGAAAGCCUUUGACAGGUUUUAAGUAGGAAAGUAGAGUGAUCCAAACACUGUGUUGGUGUCCAGAGACUGCUCAUAUAGGAGAGAUAAUGUGGAUGUGAGCCAGAGGAAACCUAAAGGGACCAGAAUCAGCGCUGGCAGAGGCGGCAUGCAGGGCUGUGGGUGUACUCAGCUGUGCAGAGCUGAUUAUAGAAGAUGAAAGGGCUUGGCAAUUUAUUUCAUCUCACACUGAAGCACUGCUGACAACUGAAAGUGAGGACAGAAGGAUUCAUUUGUUCAACUUCUGUUUUAAAAAACAGACUUCAAAUGAUACCACAGAGAAAAAGGAGGAAACGCUGCAGUGUAAUAAAAUGUCUAUUUUUAAAAAACACACUAGCUGCAGCAUUUUUAUUUCAUAGGUGGGUUUGAAGGCAAAGGGGUUGGCUUUUUUGUGGUUGUUAUCAAUUCCAGGGAAUGUGACAUGCACGCAGGAUCAAUUACUAAUCAAAUAGACCACGUUCACCUAAUCUGACCAAAGCUCUCGUGUACAUUCAUCCUUGAGUCCAAAGAUGAGUCACAGUGAGGAAAACCUAACCCUGCAGUGUUUAAAUACUUCCUAUGCAGGAUCUUUAUACUAAAACUGAAUAAAUGUAUGAUAUAUGAUGGAGAAUCUAUUUUAAAUUUUAUAAUCCUGGUCAUCUUAAUUUUUA